AUGUCAGAAACUCAGCAAGGGUAGGUGUAUGGUGAAGAGUUGUUUGUGCUGUCUGCAAUGGAGAGCAGAAACCUAAUUGAGGCUGCUGCCCUUAGAAACGCAGCCUCAGGGAGUGUCCUGGGGCAGAGGGGUGUGGAGGUUUCUAGAAGAGUGCCAAGAGGAGGGAUCCUGAAUUCAGCCUUGGCUGAGAAGCCAAACAAGUAUUUGGAAGCGAGUAUGUUGGACCAUAUACACGCUUGGCUCUUUGAUCUUCCUGGUGCCCAUCCGUUUCAGCAGAUCCCCCCUACCCCCGCCAGGCAAAGCACUAAGAGCAAGAGAGCAUUUCUGUGCACGGCAACGAACAUGAAUGGCUCCUAAAGCACUUUCAAGUAUAUUAUUCAGUACAGUGAUUUCGUUGGAUCUUUAAAGAGAGUUUUUGGUCUUAAGUAAAAAGGAUUGAUUCUGAAAUCCGAUCGGUUUGAAUUUGCCACUGAUUAUUUACGUCGAAAUGAAAAGAAAUGUCCUUCUGCCUAAGCCCUUGGUUCUAGCGCUCGGUUUUAAAUGCUGGGAGCUUAGAGCCCAGAAGCACUUUUUCUCUGAAUCAGCUGACCUUGACCAGAAGAUCCGAGAGGACUGGAUGCAGCUUAGUGUCACAGGACAUCUUCCACCUCCAUUAAAUCGAUGCAAAGGCAGUGUUGACAUCACGGAACAGAUUGAGACAGGUGGCUUCGUCAGAAAUAUUGCCACGUCUUUCUCGAAGGCAACACAGAAGUUGGCCUAGGCUCAACCCUGGGUACACGCAGUAAGGUUUAUCGAAAAGGUGGUCACAAAAGGCAUUCAUUGGGAGGUGAAUGGAUAAAUGAACUGUGACACGUGGUGACAAUGGAACAUUAUUCAGCACUAAGAAGAAAUGAACUAUCAAGCUGUGAAAAGAUGUAAAGGAAAAUUAAAUGCAUGUUACUAAGUGGAAGAAAACAAUCUGAAAUGGCCAUGUUCGGUAUGGUUCCCGCUGCACAAAAUUUUGGAAAAGGCAAAACUACAGAAACUGUUAAAAAUCAGUGGAUGGGGGUGCCUGGGUGGCUCAGUGGGUUAAGGCCUCUUCCUUUGGCUUGGG
Long non-coding RNA from Lutra lutra (Eurasian river otter), 1093 nucleotides. RefSeq lists it as uncharacterized. The transcript is spliced from 3 exons. Lineage: Eukaryota; Metazoa; Chordata; Mammalia; Carnivora; Mustelidae. The record is from RefSeq and is a predicted model, not a curated record.